GGUCGUUUAUGGGAACUUUAAUAUUUUAGCGCACAUUAACUGAACUUAGUUUAUUGCUUCUGAAAUCAAAGUGCUUAGAUUAUGUCUUCUUAACUAUGCAUUUACAUGUUGGAUGUUUUCCAUAAUAUUUAAAAAUACAUGAUUUACAUUUAGCAUUGGGGCAGCAUUAUAACUUAUCUUUUUCCAAGUACGUAUAUUAUAUUGCCGAGUAAAUGUGCCCGAACAUCUUUUUUUAAGGAGUGGUUCAAUGUGUACCAUUUCCUUUAAAAUGUUUCUCAUUUCAUAUAAUACAAAUGUAAAAUAUAUUUAAGUGUUCAAACACAGCCAUCUUCUGUCGUCUUUUCGUCAUUUAUUGUCACUAAUAUAAAGGAAAGCUGGUGUAGAGAUGUCUGUACUCAGAACCAAAUAAUAUCACCUGGAGUGGGUUACCUACUCCAACAUUGUAUGGUUUGAAUUGUUUUAUUAAAUUGCAUAUUAUCAAAGUUUUAAAAAUCUCGAAGGAGUGCAGCACUCUAGAUAGAGUUUUUAUUGUCAAACUCUCUCCGUUAUGGGGGGGAGAGGGGUCCUUGUUGACAGUUGCAAACUGUACAACUUUAAUCAUUAACGCCUAGUCUGAUUUUAAACAGCAAUAAGUAGAAGGUAAAACCAACAAUACAAUCCAACAACAUGUGUGUAAAAAUGUCAUCAAUAAAACAGAUAUGAUUUAUGACAUCAUAAAUAAAACAAACAAAAGUGAUGGUUAAACAUGUGUCUAUAGGUAUGGUAUAGUAUGAAAAAAGCAUGUUAAUCACAGCUUUCUUUUAAAAAUCCAAAGCAUUCAUACAAAUGAUCACUAUUUAUGUAACGUGACGCAUAUGGUUAUACUAAAUGAAGACAUGCGUACGUGAUUUGCAUAUUUUAUGUGCUUGAUGGGUAAACGGCUAUUAAUGACUUGAUCAAUGUGUCACUAGUCUACCUUUUAGACUGAAAACUUUGAAUAUAGUGGGAAAAAAAAGCAUAUAAUCUAUACUUUAAAUUUCCACUUUAUACAGGCAGUCCAACAUAACUUGCCACAAGUCUAAAAUCGCCAACCUGUUUGCAAAUGAAUUUUGCCUCAUCCGUCUCUGCGAUCCUAGGAAGGGGCUCCAUCAUUUACAGGGAAUGUAUCACCUUUCUGCAACAAUGCUAUAUAACUAGGAUACCAUGAAACCUACCUUACCGUGAAAAUGUUUACUACUGUGGAUGCUGUAUAUUUUUUGAUACAAUAAAUUAGUGUCCUUUUUCUCACACACACAGGCAAGUUUACUCGACUCCUGCCACUGUGAUCACAAACCUUUUUUUCGAAUUGCCGGGAAGCAGACAGCGGUUUGCAUACAUUAUACUGAAUUGUGUGUCUUGGGCCUUAUAACCUAAUGCUGUAACUCUACACUUAACACCAGAAAAAUGUUAACUUUACACGGGCAAGCAUUUUUUUUCAACAAAAAACAUGGCAGCAACACCACUGCCAGCAGUAUCAAUGUAGGCAAAGUGUUUACUUUACCUAUUUAUACAGAAUUGCUUAAUAAUUAUAUUUUCCCUUUUUAAAGUGAGUGCGGACAUGUUGGACAAACGGUUUGCUACACAGACUAUUGUUUCAUAUGCCUUAAACAUAAGGUGCCGAGGCAUCACACCGCAAUGCCUGACAAUAAUUUGAAACAGUGUACGUAAUUUGCCUUUAUUUGUGUAAACAUACUGGCGUUGCUAUUUAAAGGGACACCAUUUUGUCUCUGGAGUGUAUAAAUAUAUUACACACUAUGUUUCAAAUGUGAUGCAUCAUGUUUUAUUUAGCAUCUUUACAUGUUUCUCAUUCUUGAUUUUGUAUCCUAUUUAGAGAGCUGUGUCUAGAAAGAGCAAACUGUAUACAAGGCUGUUACAGGAUGUAUAACAGUUAUGAAUAAAUUACAAAUAAACUUGGC
This 1934-nucleotide long non-coding RNA is filed under the name Pelobates cultripes (western spadefoot toad). Lineage: Eukaryota; Metazoa; Chordata; Amphibia; Anura; Pelobatidae. The record is from RNAcentral.